RNAcentral lists this ribosomal RNA (484 nucleotides) under uncultured bacterium. RNAcentral describes it as "partial 16S ribosomal RNA". It matches the Rfam family "Bacterial small subunit ribosomal RNA", at positions 28 to 507 of the family's 1533-position model. The record is from RNAcentral.
GAUUAACGCUAGCGGCAGGCAUAAUACAUGCAAGUUGAACGGCAGCACAGGUAGCAAUACUGGGUGGCGAGUGGCGCACGGGUGCGUAACACGUAUGCAACCUACCCUAUACAGGCGAAUAACCUUUAGGAAUGAGGGCUAAUACGCCGUAGUAUUACAGAUGGGCAUCUAUUUGUAAUUAAAGAUUUAUCGGUAUAGGAUGGGCAUGCGUCCCAUUAGUUAGUUGGUAAGGUAACGGCUUACCAAGACGAUGAUGGGUAGGGGAUCUGAGAGGACUUACCCCCACACUGGUACUGAGACACGGACCAGACUCCUACGGGAGGCAGCAGUAAGGAAUAUUGGGCAAUGGCCGCGAGGCUGACCCAGCCAUGCCGCGUGCAGGAAGACGGCCUUAUGGGUUGUAAACUGCUUUUAUACGGGAAUAAUAGAGUGUACGCGUACAUUUAUGCAAGUAUCGUAUGAAUAAGCAUCGGCUAACUCCGUG